CCUUUGACGUUAGCGGCGUACGGGUGAGUAACACGUGGGUAACCUACCUAUAAGACUGGGAUAACUUCGGGAAACCGGAGCUAAUACCGGAUAAUAUUUCGAACCGCAUGGUUCGAUAGUGAAAGGUGGUUUUGCUAUCACUUAUAGAUGGACCCGCGCCGUAUUAGCUAGUUGGUAAGGUAACGGCUUACCAAGGCGACGAUACGUAGCCGACCUGAGAGGGUGAUCGGCCACACUGGAACUGAGACACGGUCCAGACUCCUCGGGAGGCAGCAGGC
This 278-nucleotide ribosomal RNA is filed under the name uncultured Staphylococcus sp. Its description in RNAcentral is "partial 16S ribosomal RNA". It matches the Rfam family "Bacterial small subunit ribosomal RNA", at positions 83 to 354 of the family's 1533-position model. Lineage: Bacteria; Bacillati; Bacillota; Bacilli; Caryophanales; Staphylococcaceae. The record is from RNAcentral.